RNAcentral lists this ribosomal RNA (379 nucleotides) under uncultured bacterium. RNAcentral's name for it is "bacterial SSU rRNA". It matches the Rfam family "Bacterial small subunit ribosomal RNA", at positions 30 to 417 of the family's 1533-position model. The record is from RNAcentral.
AUUGAACGCUGGCGGCAUGCCUAACACAUGCAAGUCGAGCGAGGUGUAGCAAUACAUCUAGCGGCGGACGGGUGAGGAAUACAUAGGAAUUUGCCUUUAAGUGGGGGAUAGCCCGGGGAAACUCGGAGUAAUACCGCAUGAUGUCGAAAGACCAAAGCAGGGGACCGCAAGGCCUUGCGCUUUUAGAGAAGCCUAUGUCGGAUUAGCUAGUUGGUGAGGUAAUGGCNCACCAAGGCAACGAUCCGUAGCUGGUUUGAGAGAACGAUCAGCCACACCGGAACUGAGACACGGUCCGGACUCCUACGGGAGGCAGCAGUGGGGAAUAUUGGACAAUGGGCGAAAGCCUGAUCCAGCAAUGCCGCGUGUGUGAAGAAGGCCU